RNAcentral lists this unclassified non-coding RNA (337 nucleotides) under soil metagenome. RNAcentral describes it as "partial contains 5.8S ribosomal RNA, internal transcribed spacer 2, and large subunit ribosomal RNA". The stretch from base 1 to 120 matches the Rfam family "5.8S ribosomal RNA", at positions 35 to 154 of the family's 154-position model. The record is from RNAcentral.
GAUGAAGAACGUAGCGAAAUGCGAUAAGUAGUGUGAAUUGCAGAAUUCAGUGAAUCAUCGAAUCUUUGAACGCACAUUGCGCCCUUUGGUAUUCCUUAGGGCAUGCCUGUUCGAGCGUCAUUUAAACCUUCAAGCUCCGCUUGGUGUUGGGCGUCUGUCCCGCUUCGCGCGCGGACUCGCCCCAAAGGUAUUGGCAGCGGUCGUGCCAGCUUCUCGCGCAGCACAUUGCGCUUCUCGAGGCACCGGUGGGCCCGCGUCCAUCAAGCUCACCCCCCCAGUUUGACCUCGGAUCAGGUAGGGAUACCCGCUGAACUUAAGCAUAUCAAUAAGCGGAGGA